GAAAAGAAACUAACAAGGAUUCCCCUAGUAACGGCGAGUGAAGCGGGAAGAGCUCAAAUUUGAAAUCUGGUAGCCUUCGGCUGCCCGAGUUGUAAUCUAGAGAAGUGUUUUCCGUGCCGGCCCAUGUACAAGUCCCUUGGAACAGGGCGUCAUAGAGGGUGAGAAUCCCGUCCUUGACAUGGACCCCCGGUGCUUUGUGAUACACUUUCAACGAGUCGAGUUGUUUGGGAAUGCAGCUCAAAAUGGGUGGUGAAUUCCAUCUAAAGCUAAAUAUUGGCGAGAGACCGAUAGCGAACAAGUACCGUGAGGGAAAGAUGAAAAGCACUUUGGAAAGAGAGUUAAACAGUACGUGAAAUUGUUGAAAGGGAAACGAUUGAAGUCAGUCAUGCUCUUUGGAUUCAGCCGUUCUGCGGUGUAUUUCCAUUGAGUGGGGUCAACAUCAGUUUUGAUCGCUGGAUAAAGGCACUAGGAAGGUAGCACUCUCGGGUGAACUUAUAGCCUAGCGUCAUAUACAGUGAUUGGGACUGAGGAACGCAGCAUGCCUUUAUGGCCGGGAUUCGUCCACGUACAUGCUUAGGAUGUUGACAUAAUGGCUUUAAACGACCC
RNAcentral lists this ribosomal RNA (606 nucleotides) under Naganishia uzbekistanensis. RNAcentral describes it as "LSU rRNA". It matches the Rfam family "Eukaryotic large subunit ribosomal RNA", at positions 56 to 650 of the family's 3401-position model. Lineage: Eukaryota; Fungi; Basidiomycota; Tremellomycetes; Filobasidiales; Filobasidiaceae. The record is from RNAcentral.